GACGAACGCUGGCGGCGUGCUUAACACAUGCAAGUCGAACGGAAAGGCCCUGCUUUUGUGGGGUGCUCGAGUGGCGAACGGGUGAGUAACACGUGAGUAACCUGCCCUUGACUUUGGGAUAACUUCAGGAAACUGGGGCUAAUACCGGAUAGGAGCUCCUGCUGCAUGGUGGGGGUUGGAAAGUUUCGGCGGUUGGGGAUGGACUAGCGGCCUAUCAGCUUGUUGGUGGGGUAGUGGCUUACCAAGGCUUUGACGGGUAGCCGGCCUGAGAGGGUGACCGGCCACAUUGGGACUGAGAUACGGCGCAGACUCCUACGGUAGGCAGCAGUGGAGAAUAUUGCACAAUGGGCGGAAGCCUGAUACAGCAACGCCGCGUGCGUGAUGACGUCCUUCGGGUUGUAAACCGCUUUCGCCGGUGACGAGGCGUGAGUGACGGUAAUGGGUAAAGAAGCACCGGCUAACUACGUG
This 468-nucleotide ribosomal RNA is filed under the name uncultured bacterium. RNAcentral describes it as "partial 16S ribosomal RNA". It matches the Rfam family "Bacterial small subunit ribosomal RNA", at positions 28 to 507 of the family's 1533-position model. The record is from RNAcentral.